This 444-nucleotide long non-coding RNA is filed under the name Phoenix dactylifera (date palm). RNAcentral's name for it is "long non-coding RNA (PDAC_LNC007333)". The record is from RNAcentral. Lineage: Eukaryota; Viridiplantae; Streptophyta; Magnoliopsida; Arecales; Arecaceae.
UGUUGAUCCACACAGGAAUGGGUUCAAGACUCUAGCUCCACCAAAACUUGAUUCUAAUUGUUCAAUCCUUCCAAAGGAUUUAAUUGGCUGAUUUUCCUUCACUUCCUUCUUCCUUUCUACCUCUAAAACAUUCACUAGCCUUUUUGUCCUAAAGAAGACCCACUUGUCUUGGGUUAGGACAAAAGAGAGAGGCUUGUAAGAAAGAAGGGAUAAGGGAGAGAGAAGGAGAGGCUUUUUCUUGGAUGAUCUUUAGAACCCCAAGGCACCUCCUUAUUUAUAAGAGAUGGAGGGAUGCAUCAUAAAGGGAUGCAUCCCAUCCACACACCUCAUCAUGAUGAGGCAUGUGCCAAGAGAUGCAUCCCAUCAUGAUGGGGUGCUAAGGAGAAGGGUGUAUCAACUUCUUUCUCACAUCUCCCUCUUAAAUCCUGAUGAUCCAAGGGCCNN